UACAGAGGUCUCAAGCGUUGUUCGGAUUCAUUGGGCGUAAAGGGUGCGUAGGCGGCUUUCUAAGUCAGGGGUGAAAUCCUGGAGCUCAACUCCAGAACUGCCUUUGAUACUGGAGGGCUUGAGUCCGGAAGAGGUGAGUGGAACUCCGAGUGUAGAGGUGAAAUUCGUAGAUAUUCGGAAGAACACCAGUGGCGAAGGCGGCUCACUGGUCCGGUACUGACGCUGAUGUGCGAAAGCGUGGGGAGCAAACAGGAGUUAG
Molecule: ribosomal RNA, 259 nt
Filed under: uncultured bacterium
Lineage: Bacteria
Description: partial 16S ribosomal RNA
Rfam family: Bacterial small subunit ribosomal RNA
Source: RNAcentral